GAAUUCGAUGCCAUUGCACCAUCGGGUUGAUUCCCGAUGGUACGUCUGGUUGAGGGUCAAUAUCUAUUAAAUUAAUAAAUAAUAUAUCAUUGAUAGUUUACAUUCAAAUAAUUAAUUUUUAUUUGUUUGAUUGAUAUAUUAUUUGUUGAAAUAAUUCAUCAGGUGAUUUAAAAUUUUAUAUGAAAAAUUUACUAUCCCCUGAUUAAGUAUUAUAUAAAUAAUAUGUAAGUUUUUACUUACAAUAUUUUACAUAUUGAAAUAAAAUAAUUAAUCUUUCGUAAUAUAUUAUAUAUUAUAUAUAUAUAUAUAUAAAAAAAAAAAUAUAAAUUAUUAUUUUUUUAUUUUUUUUUGCUUGCUUAAUGCGGUAAAUGAAUCAAUAAUGAAAUGAAAUAUGCAAUAUGUAAUAUUAUUUUUUGAUGCUUACUCAUCCGCGAUUACCCCCUAUAA
Molecule: unclassified non-coding RNA, 447 nt
Filed under: Dirofilaria immitis (dog heartworm nematode)
Lineage: Eukaryota; Metazoa; Nematoda; Chromadorea; Rhabditida; Onchocercidae
Description: sequence contains ITS1, 5.8S rRNA gene and ITS2
Source: RNAcentral